UACAGAGGGUGCAAGCGUUGUUCGGAAUUACUGGGCGUAAAGCGCGCGCAGGCGGUCUUCCAAGUCAGUGGUGAAAGCCCGGAGCUCAACUCCGGAAUUGCCAUUGAAACUGUGAGACUGGAGUACGAGAGAGGUGAGUGGAAUUCCCAGUGUAGAGGUGAAAUUCGUAGAUAUUCGCAAGAACACCAGUGGCGAAGGCGGCUGUCUGGUCCGGUUCUGACGCUGAGGCGCGAAAGCGUGGGGAGCAAACAGGG
This 254-nucleotide ribosomal RNA is filed under the name uncultured bacterium. RNAcentral describes it as "partial 16S ribosomal RNA". It matches the Rfam family "Bacterial small subunit ribosomal RNA", at positions 524 to 777 of the family's 1533-position model. The record is from RNAcentral.